UUGUGUGCACAGGAAUCUUUAGGAAG
This 26-nucleotide unclassified non-coding RNA is filed under the name Mus musculus (house mouse). Its description in RNAcentral is "oocyte_clustered_small_RNA10603". The record is from RNAcentral. Lineage: Eukaryota; Metazoa; Chordata; Mammalia; Rodentia; Muridae.